UUUAACCAGGUGUUAAUUUAGGUCAAAAUAAUUUAACCAGGGGUGAAUUUAGGUCACAAAAUUUUAACCAGGAAUGAAUAUAAGUUAAAAUGUUUUAACCAGGGGUGAAUUUCAACCAAAAUAUUUUAACCAGGGGUGAAUUUCAACCAAAAUACUUUAACCAGGAAUGAAUUUAAGUUAAAAGUUUU
Long non-coding RNA from Octopus sinensis (East Asian common octopus), 188 nucleotides. RefSeq lists it as uncharacterized. The transcript is spliced from 3 exons. NCBI's taxonomy places the organism in Eukaryota, Metazoa, Mollusca, Cephalopoda, Octopoda, Octopodidae. The record is from RefSeq and is a predicted model, not a curated record.